UCAUAAUCGAUGGUGUGAAUGCAUUGAAAUUAGAAAGGCGUAUGCAAUCAUCCCAUUGUUUCCAUCGUUU
This is a long non-coding RNA of Polistes canadensis, 70 nucleotides long. RefSeq lists it as uncharacterized. The transcript has 2 exons. The record is from RefSeq and is a predicted model, not a curated record. Lineage: Eukaryota; Metazoa; Arthropoda; Insecta; Hymenoptera; Vespidae.